This 468-nucleotide ribosomal RNA is filed under the name uncultured bacterium. Its description in RNAcentral is "partial 16S ribosomal RNA". It matches the Rfam family "Bacterial small subunit ribosomal RNA", at positions 28 to 507 of the family's 1533-position model. The record is from RNAcentral.
GACGAACGCUGGCGGCGUGCUUAACACAUGCAAGUCGAACGGAAAGGCCCUGCUUUUGUGGGGUGCUCGAGUGGCGAACGGGUGAGUAACACGUGAGUAACCUGCCCUUGACUUUGGGAUAACUUCAGGAAACUGGGGCUAAUACCGGAUAGGAGCUCCUGCUGCAUGGUGGGGGGUGGAAAGUUUCGGCGGUUGGGGAUGGACUCGCGGCUUAUCAGCUUGUUGGUGGGGUAGUGGCUUACCAAGGCUUUGACGGGUAGCCGGCCUGAGAGGGUGACCGGCCACAUUGGGACUGAGAUACGGCCCAGACUCCUACGGGAGGCAGAAGUGGGGAAUAUUGCACAAUGGGCGGAAGCCUGAUGCAGCAACGCCGCGUGCGGGAUGACGGCCUUCGGGUUGUAAACCGCUUUCGCCUGUGACGAAGCGUGAGUGACGGUAAUGGGUAAAGAAGCACCGGCUAACUACGUG